GUGUCAGCAGCCGCGGUAAUACGGAGGGGGCUAGCGUUGUUCGGAAUUACUGGGCGUAAAGCGCACGUAGGCGGCGCGACAAGUCAGAGGUGAAAGGCCUGGGCUCAACCUGGGAACUGCCUUUGAUACUGGCGUGCUUGAGUCCGGAAGAGGGUGGCGGAAUUCCCAGUGUAGAGGUGAAAUUCGUAGAUAUUGGGAAGAACACCGGUGGCGAAGGCGGUCACCUGGUCCGGUACUGACGCUGAGGUGCGAAAGCGUGGGGAGCAAACAGGAUUAGAUACCCCGGUAGUCC
RNAcentral lists this ribosomal RNA (292 nucleotides) under uncultured bacterium. Its description in RNAcentral is "partial 16S ribosomal RNA". It matches the Rfam family "Bacterial small subunit ribosomal RNA", at positions 505 to 796 of the family's 1533-position model. The record is from RNAcentral.